RNAcentral lists this ribosomal RNA (460 nucleotides) under uncultured bacterium. RNAcentral's name for it is "partial 16S ribosomal RNA". It matches the Rfam family "Bacterial small subunit ribosomal RNA", at positions 338 to 795 of the family's 1533-position model. The record is from RNAcentral.
CCUACGGGAGGCAGCAGUGAGGAAUAUUGGUCAAUGGGCGCGAGCCUGAACCAGCAAAGUAGCUUGCAUUCUUCCUUCCCUCCUUUUUUUCCCCUUCUUUUCUCCCUUACUACAGUGAGGCACGUGUGCCUUUUUGUAUGUACUUUAUGAAUAAGGAUCGGCUAACUCCGUGCCAGCAGCCGCGGUAAUACGGAGGAUCCGAGCGUUAUCCGGAUUUAUUGGGUUUAAAGGGAGCGUAGAUGGGUUGUUAAGUCAGUUGUGAAAGUUUGCGGCUCAACCGUAAAAUUGCAAUUGAUACUGGCAGCCUUGAGUACAGUUGAGGUAGGCGGAAUUCGUGGUGUAGCGGUGAAAUGCUUAGAUAUCACGAAGAACUCCGAUUGCGAAGGCAGCUUACUAAACUGCCACUGACAUUGAUGCUCGAAAGUGUGGGUAUCAAACAGGAUUAGAGAAAAGGGUAGUC